UAACCUGCCCAAGAGAUCGGGAUAACACCUGGAAACAGAUGCUAAUACCGGAUGACAACAGAUGAUGCCUAUCAACUGUUUAAAAGAUGGUUCUGCUAUCACUCUUGGAUGGACCUGCGGUGCAUUAGCUAGUUGGUAGGGUAACGGCCUACCAAGGCGAUGAUGCAUAGCCGAGUUGAGAGACUGAUCGGCCACAUUGGGACUGAGACACGGCCCAAACUCCUACGGGAGGCAGCAGGU
RNAcentral lists this ribosomal RNA (240 nucleotides) under uncultured Lactobacillus sp. RNAcentral's name for it is "partial 16S ribosomal RNA". It matches the Rfam family "Bacterial small subunit ribosomal RNA", at positions 122 to 354 of the family's 1533-position model. Lineage: Bacteria; Bacillati; Bacillota; Bacilli; Lactobacillales; Lactobacillaceae. The record is from RNAcentral.